CAGCAACAGGAGAAACAGCUCUCACAGUGCAUGAUUGUCAUUUUUGUCUGCUAAUCUUGUGGUGUAUUGCUAAAUACUUGCAUGACAUGAUGUGUAGAAAUUGAUCACUAUACCUGAUAAGAGGCCCAAGCUGAAGCAGGUGCAUGAGGAGUAUCAGGGGGCGGUCUCUCCCCAGGUCCCUAUGAAUGAAAGUCAGUGCAAGCUGGACCAUGACAGAGGGGAUAAGCAUAAAGGUAAUAGUGAGUGACAUCCACACUGCAUCCUCUGAAUGACUAUACCCUGCAGCCACUACUGCUGCUGCAACCAUCUCUGUACAGAACAGCAGAGUCGAUGUUAAGAUGCUGAAAGGAGGAUGAGUCUGGGACCUGACCUCCUUAUAGCUUCCAUUUUCCCCAGUCUUGGAAGGUGUGGAGUUCUCACACACGUUGUCCAUUCUUCAGAUGUAAUCCACAAGCGGUUUGGAGGAAAAAAACACUAAAAAUCCAGGAUGAAAAAAAAUAAUCAAGGGGUCUUCAUCAGAUGUAAUUCACAAGGGGUCCAGCAGCAGUGACUCCUUGGCGGCGGCUCCUCGGCAGCUCCUCUUCUUCUUCCAUCCGCUCUUCAUGCAGUGCUGCUGCACACUCAUUUUUUGCUGUCAGUUUCCUGGCAGUUCUAUUGAGUGAUUUUUUUUUUUUUUUUUUUAUAUAAACCUUUUUAUUGAGGUAAUAUAAGUUAUAGAUACAUCCACAUCAAAUGGACAAGUACAGAAUUGGGUCCAGCAAAGUAAAACAUAUUAAUUAAAUGUCCAUUAUAUUAAUAACAAUAACCUCAUGUUGUUUUUAACAGAAAAGAGAGAGGAAAGAGUCUCACCCACAAAUCCAACCAAAGUGACCUCUAAGCUGUCAUAAAGUUGUGUCUUAUAUCAGCAAAUCAUUUAGCGUAUUUGUUGUAUAAGUAAUCUUCCAAAAUAAAGAGCAACUCAUGAAAGAA
Molecule: long non-coding RNA, 969 nt
Organism: Bombina bombina (fire-bellied toad)
Lineage: Eukaryota; Metazoa; Chordata; Amphibia; Anura; Bombinatoridae
Exons: 3
Source: RefSeq, a predicted model, not a curated record